This is a non-coding RNA of Acanthosepion pharaonis, 108 nucleotides long. The record is from the annotation of a GenBank genome assembly. Lineage: Eukaryota; Metazoa; Mollusca; Cephalopoda; Sepiida; Sepiidae.
UUACGGCCAUAUCACGUAGAAACACUAGUUCUGUAUGAUCACCGAAGUUAAGCAACGUCGAGCCUGGUCAGUACAGAGAUGGGUGACCGCUUCAGAAUACCAGGUGUU